AUUGUUUUGGCAGAAUAGUGCAAUUGAUUUAGAAUCUUUAUAUAUAGAUAAAACUAUAGGCAAUA
Molecule: transfer RNA, 65 nt
Filed under: Cryptocephalus celtibericus
Lineage: Eukaryota; Metazoa; Arthropoda; Insecta; Coleoptera; Chrysomelidae
Description: tRNA-Leu
Rfam family: tRNA
About the family: Transfer RNA (tRNA) molecules are approximately 80 nucleotides in length. Their secondary structure includes four short double-helical elements and three loops (D, anti-codon, and T loops). Further hydrogen bonds mediate the characteristic L-shaped molecular structure. tRNAs have two regions of fundamental functional importance: the anti-codon, which is responsible for specific mRNA codon recognition, and the 3' end, to which the tRNAs corresponding amino acid is attached (by aminoacyl-tRNA synthetases). tRNAs cope with the degeneracy of the genetic code in two manners: having more than one tRNA (with a specific anti-codon) for a particular amino acid; and 'wobble' base-pairing, i.e. permitting non-standard base-pairing at the 3rd anti-codon position.
Source: RNAcentral